CUGUUCCUGCGCCUGCGUCCUCGGGCUCGCCCGGAGGAGCGCCCCUGGCGGCCGGGAGGAGCAGCGGCGAUGCGCCGGGCCAAACGCGUGGCCGCCAGUUCGAGACCCGGCUCUGGCGCUCGCCGUUUUCGAGCCCUGAGCAAGCGGCUUCCGAAGCCCCGAGUUCUUCGUUGUGGGAGUCAGACCAGCGCCUUUCUCAAAAGGCUGUUGGCGGUUUAAGGGAGAUAAAUGGGCAAAGGCAACGGUGGAUAUUCAGCGGGGCCUCCUGGACAAAUAGCCAGAGGUCAUCUCCGGCUGUGUACACAAGGCAUGGAGCCAGGGUCCUGCCAGGAAGUGCAGGGUCGAGGUCGGAGGUCCGGGGCGAGGCCAAGCUCAUGGGGAGGCUACUGGGGGGACCUGGUCCUGGGCGGGGGCUUGGGGAGGACGGAUGUGGACUUCCUGGACCAGGCUCCUGGGAGGCACUGGACAGUGGACUCCGACCCGGGAUUCAGCCACCCUGCCCUUGGUUCCCCCAGUCCCGUCACUGCCGCCGCCACCAUGCUGCUUCCCAGGACUGCACUUCUCUUGACUCUGCUCCUGGCCGCUGGCUCCCUGGGUCAGAGGGCUCGGAGACCCCCUCGGCCCCUGUCCCCCAUCAGUGCCAUCCAGCCCAAGGCCAACUUCGAUGCUCAGCAGGUUGAGUUGGGAGGAGGUAGGGGCGGCAGGAGCUUGCCCAGCCUCAUAGGGGUCAGACCUGGGUCCCCCAUCCCCUCAUGCCCUUGUGUGGCCUGUCCCCAGUUUGCAGGGACGUGGCUCCUUGUGGCCGUGGCCUCUUCGUGUCGCUUUCUGCAGGAGCAGGGCCACCGGGCUGAGGCCACCACAAUGCAGGUGGCUCCCCAGGGCACAGCCAUGGCCAUCGACACCUUCCGAAAGCUGGACGGCAUCUGCUGGCAGGUGCGGCAGCUCUACGGAGGCACGCAGGUCCCGGGCCGCUUCCUGCUGCAAGCUCUGCCUGCCUCUGUGCAGCUCGAGGCGCCAGGGGGGCGGUGGAUGUGGUCGUUGGGGACACGGACUACCAGAGCUUCGCCAUCCUGUACCUGGAGCGGGCACGGCAGCUGUCGGUGAAGCUGUACGGUGCGUUCGGGCGGGCCCCUGGGCUCCGUGCACACUUGGCCUGUCUAGGGGGGACCGGGGGAGCCCAGGUGCACACACAGACCCUCCUGACCCUCUCCUGCUAAGCGGAUCCAGGGAGGCGUCCCUGCAGAUAGGGACAGAGCCCACAGGAACAGGGAUGGGCGGGGGCCAGGCAGUGGCCGGGUAUGUCACAGACAUGCAGACCCCAUCCCCAGAGCACCCUGCCCCCCACCCGUGGGUGCCCCCCAGGAGCCCUGUGUGUCCUAUAGCCCGCUCACUCCCCGUGGGCGACGCGGCCCUCAACACCUUUGAGCAGCGAGUCCAGGGGGCCAACCUAACCGAGGACCACAUUUGGUUUUUCCCCAAAUACGGUUUCUGUGACACCGCAGACCAGUUCCACAUCCUGGACG
RNA transcript from Pteropus alecto (black flying fox), 1523 nucleotides. It is a transcript of the gene named complement C8 gamma chain, with no coding region annotated. The record is from RefSeq and is a predicted model, not a curated record. Lineage: Eukaryota; Metazoa; Chordata; Mammalia; Chiroptera; Pteropodidae. The transcript is spliced from 4 exons.